GAAGGUUGGCUGUGGACGUGUCACUCGCCAACCGGGUCAGGUCCGGAAGGAAGCAGCCCUAACGAAUUCGACGCGGGUCACCUGUCCAGCCUUCCAC
This 97-nucleotide signal recognition particle RNA is filed under the name Ahrensia marina. RNAcentral describes it as "Bacterial small signal recognition particle RNA". It matches the Rfam family "Bacterial small signal recognition particle RNA". From Rfam's summary of the family: The signal recognition particle (SRP) is a universally conserved ribonucleoprotein involved in the co-translational targeting of proteins to membranes. Lineage: Bacteria; Pseudomonadati; Pseudomonadota; Alphaproteobacteria; Hyphomicrobiales; Ahrensiaceae. The record is from Rfam by way of RNAcentral.